This 263-nucleotide ribosomal RNA is filed under the name uncultured bacterium. RNAcentral describes it as "partial 16S ribosomal RNA". It matches the Rfam family "Bacterial small subunit ribosomal RNA", at positions 793 to 1055 of the family's 1533-position model. The record is from RNAcentral.
GUCCUUGCCGUAAACGAUGUAGAUUAGGUAUCGGGGUGUCGAUCCCCCGGCGCCGACGUUAACACAUUAAAUCUACCACCUGGGGAGUACGGUCGCAAGACUGAAACUCAAAGAAAUUGACGGGGACCCGCACAAGCGGUGGAGCAUGUGGUUUAAUUCGAGGCUACGCGAAGAACCUUACCCAGGCUUGACAUGGUUAAGACAGCGCAUGAAAGUGCGUUUCUCCGCAAGGAGCUUUUCCACAGGUGCUGCAUGGCUGUCGU